Gossypium hirsutum (cotton) is the source of this 143-nucleotide non-coding RNA. Lineage: Eukaryota; Viridiplantae; Streptophyta; Magnoliopsida; Malvales; Malvaceae. The record is from Rfam.
UGUUAAAGAUUUCAUCCAUUUGUCCUAUUAAAAACUGGGUGGCUGACAGAAUAACCAAAUAGUAAUAUGUAGCAUGUCACGUGUUCCUCAUGCUGGCGUACAGUAACUAAUUUUUACAGUAGAAAUGGAUAGAAUUUUUAAUA